This 5753-nucleotide long non-coding RNA is filed under the name Triticum aestivum (bread wheat). Its description in RNAcentral is "long non-coding RNA (TAES_LNC021428)". Lineage: Eukaryota; Viridiplantae; Streptophyta; Magnoliopsida; Poales; Poaceae. The record is from RNAcentral.
UUAUCCGAAACGCUGAAAUAGGCAAAAAAAUAGCAAUUCUGGGCUGGGCCUCCGGUUAAUAGGUUAGUACCAAAAAUAAUAUAAAAGUGGAAAAUAAAGCCCAAUAUAGUCCAAAACAGUAGAUAAUAUAGCAUGGAGCAAUCAAAAUUUAUAGAUACGUUGGAGACGUAUCAGGCAUCCCCAAGCUUAAUUCAUGCUCGUCCUCGAGUAGGUAAAUGAUAAAAAGAGAAUUUUUGAUGCGGAGUGCUACUUGGCAUAAUUUCAAUGCAAAUCUUCUUAAUUGUGGUAUGAAUAUUCAGAUUAGAAAGAUUCAAGACAAAGGUUUAUAUUGACAUAAAAAUAAUAAUACUUCAAGCAUACUAAUAAAGCAAUUAUGUCUUCUCAAAAUAACAUGGACAAAGAAAGUUAUCCCUACAAAAUCAUAGUCUGGCUAUGCUCCACCUUCACCACACAAAGUAUUCAAAUCAUGCACAACCCCGAUGACAAGCCAACACUCUAACUUUUUCAAAACUUUUUCAAUCUUCACGCAAUACAUGAGCGUGAGCCAUGGAUAUAGCACUAUAGGUGGAAUAGAAUGGUGGUUGUGGAGAAGACAAAAAGGAGGGGAAGAUAGUCUCACAUCAACUAGGCGUAUCAACAGGCUAUGGAGAUGCCCAUCAAUAGAUAUCAAUGUGAGUGAGUAGGGAUUGCCAUGCAACGGAUGCACUAGAGCUAUAAAUGUAUGAAAGCUCAACAAAAGAAACUAGUGGGUGUGCAUCCAACUUUCUUGCCCAUGAAGACCUAGGGCAAUUUGAGGAAGCCCAUUAUUGGAAUAUACAUGCCGAGUUCUAUAAUGUAAAAUUCCCACUAGUAUAUGAAAGUGACAACAUAUGAGAUUCUCUAUAUGAAGAACAUGGUGCUACUUUGAAGCACAAUAUAUGAGACUCGCUAUAUCAUGGUGCUACUUUGAAGCACAAGUGUGGUAAAAGGAUAGUAGCAUUGCCCCUUUUUAUUUAUUUUCUUUUUUGGGGCCUUCUUUUUUUCUUUGGCUUUUCUCCUUUUUUUAUUGGGACAAUGCUCUAUUGAAUGAUGAUCAUCACACUUUUAUUUAUUUACAACUCAAUGAUUACAACUCGAUUCUAAAACAAAGUAUGACUCUAUAUGGAUGCCUUCGGCGGUGUACCGGGAUAUGCAAUGAAUCAAGAGUGACAAGUAUGAAGAAAUUAUGAACGGUGGCUUUGCCACAAAUACUUAUGUCAACUACAUGAUCAUGCUAAACAAUAUGAAAAUGAUGAAUGUGUCAUGAUGAACUAGAUGGUGGAAAGUUGCAUGGCAAUAUAUCUCGGAAUGGCUCUGGAAAUGCCAUAAUAGGUAGGUAUGGUGGCUGUUUUGAGGAAGGUAUAUGGUAGGUGUAUUAUACCAGCGAAAGGUGUGCGGUAUUAGAGAGGCUAGCAAAGGUGGAAGGGUGAGAGUGCAUAUAAUCCAUGGACUCAACAAUAGUCAUAAAGAACUCAUAUACUUAUUGCAAAAAUCUAGAAGUUAUCAAAGCAAAGUAUUACGCGCAUGCUCCUAGGGGGAUAGAUUGGUAGAAAAAGACCAUCGCUCGUCCCCGACCGCCACUCAUAAGGAAGACAAUCAAUAAAUAAAUCAUGCUCUGACUUCGUUACAUAACGGUUCACCAUACGUGCAUGCUACGGGAAUCACAAACCUUAACACAAGUAUUCUUUAAAUUCACAACUACUCAACUAGCAUGACUUUAAUAUUAUCACCUCCAUAUCUCAAAACAAUUAUCAUGCUUCAAUCUUUUCUUAGUAUUCAACACACUCAAAAGAAAGUUUGACAAAUCUUGAAUACCAAGCAUAUUAUUAUUAAGAAAAUUACCAUGCUAUUAAGAGACUCUCAAAAUAAUCUAAGUGAAGCAUGAGAGAUCAAUAGUUUCUUUAAAACAAAUCCACCACCGUGCUUUAAAAGAUCUAAGUGAAGCACAUAGAGCAAAAUUAUAACGCUCAAAAGAUAUAAGUGAAGCACAUAGAGCAAAAUUAUCUAGCUCAAAAGAUAUAAGUGAAGCACAUAGAGCAAAACUACUUAGCUCAAAAGAUAUAAGUGAAGCACAUUGAGCAAAACUACUAUGCUCAAAAGAUAUAAGUGAAGCACAUAGAGUAUUCUAUAAAAUUUUAAUUCAUGUAUGGCUCUCUCAAAAGGUGUGCACAGCAAGGAUGAUUGUGGCAUACUAAGACACAAAGACACAAAUAAUACAAGACGCUCCAAGCAAAACACAUAUCAUGUUGGUGAAUAAAAAUAUAGCUCCAAGUAAAUUACCGAUGGAAGUGGACGAAAGAGGGGAUGCCCCGGAGGCAUCCCCAAGCUUUGACUUUUUGGUGUCCUUGGAUUAUCUUGGGGGUGCCAUGGGCAUCCCCAAGCUUAGACUCUUGCCACUCCUUGUUCCAUUAUCCAUCAAAAGAAUUCACCCAAAACUUGAAAACUUCACAACACAAAACUCAAAAUAGAAAACUUGUGAGCUCCGUUAGCGAAAGAAAACAAAAGACCAUCUCAAGGUACUGUAAUGAAAUCAUUCUUUAUUUAUAUUGGUGUUAAACCUACUGUAUUCCAACUUCUCUAUGGAUUAUAAACUAUUUUACUAGCCAUAGAUUCAUCAAAAUAAGCAAACAACACACGAAAAACAGAAUCUGUCAAAAACAGAACAGUCUGUAGUAAUCUGUAGCUAGCGCAAGAUCUGGAACCCCAAAAAUUCUAAAAUAAAUUGCUGGACGUGAGGAAUUUAUCUAUUAAUCAUCUCCAAAAAUAAUUAACUAAAUAGCACUCUUCAAAUAAAAAUGACAGCAAUUCUCGUGAGCGCUAAAGUUUCUGUUUUUUUACAGCAAGUUCAACAAGACUUUCCCCGAGUCUUCCCAACGGUUGUACUUGGCACAAACACUAAUUGAACACAAAAAACACAACCAAAACAAAGGCUAAAUAAUUUAUUUAUUACUAAGCAGGAGCAAAAAGCAAGGAAUAAAAAUAAAAUUGGGUUGCCUCCCAACAAGCGCUAUCGUUUAACGCCCCUAGCUAGGCAUAAAAGCGAGGAUAGAUCUAGGUAUAGCCAUCUUGAUUCUUAAUUCUUUUAGUGAUGUUAUUCUCGAAUCUGGGAGGUUCCUUACGUUUCCCUUCAUAUUCAGAGAUCUUGAGAUCUAAAGAAUCCAACCUCUUAUUGCAAAGAGUAAUUAACAUAUUCAUGGGGUGAAGAUUUCCGCUAACGCUCUUAAGAGGUUCAAGAGAUUUUUGUAAAAUCUUAGUUACUUCGCAAAUUUUCUCAAAAACUUGCGUUUCCUCUUGGGUAUGAUGGGGCCCCUUUUGUUGAGGUAAAGUUCCUACUAUACCUUCCAUAAUUUCAUGUGCGAUACUGGGAUCAAUUUCAAUAAAAUUGCCUUUGGCAACACAAUCCAAAAGUUGUCUAUGAGAUAUAUUAAGCCCAACAUAAAAAUUGCAAAGCAAAAUUCCGAAAUUUACUUCUAGGGUGCAUUUACGAUAAGAUUUCAUUAUUCUAAACCAAGCAUCCUUUAAGUUUUCUCCUUGAUUUUGUUUGAAGUGAAGGACUUCAAACUUGGGAGACAUAGGAGCAGAAAGAGGACUAGUCAUGACGACAAGCAAACAAACUAGCAUGCGAGCAAACAAGAGGCAAAUAGAGAGGGAGGAUAGAGAGAGAGGGCGAAUAAAACGGCAAGGGUGAAUUGGGGGGAGAGGAAAACGAGAGGCAAAUGGCAAAUAAUGUAAUGCGAGAGAUAGGGAUUGUGAUGGGUACUUGGUAUGUUGACUUUUUGCAUAGACCCCCGGCAACGGCGCCAGAAAUCCUUCUUGCUAUGUCUUGAGCUUGCGUUGGUGUUCCCCGAAGAGGAAGGGAUGAUGCAGCAGAGUAGCGUAAGUAUUUCCCUCAGUUUUUGAGAACCAAGGUAUCAAUCCAGUAGGAGCCCAUGCUCAAGUCUCUCGUACAUGCACAAAGCGAUAGCUACUCGCAACCAACGCGAUUAGGGGUUGUCAAUCCCUUCACAGUCACUUACGAGAGUGAGAUCUGAUAGAUAUAAUAUUUUUUGGUAUUUUUGGUAUAAAGAUGCAAAGCAAAAAGUAAAAGCAAAGUAAAAAAGCAAAGCAAGAUUAAAGUGAUGGAGAUUGAUAUGAUGAGAAUAGACCCAGGGGGCAUAGGUUUCACUAGUGGCUUCUCUCAAGAGCAUAAGUAUUCUACGGUGGGUGAACAAAUUACUGUUGAGCAAUUGACAGAAUUGAGCAUAGUUAUGAGAAUAUCUAGGCAUGAUCAUGUAUAUAGGCAUCACGUCCGUGACAAGUAGAUCGAAAUGAUUCUGCAUCUACUACUAUUACUCCACUCAUCGAUCGCUAUCCAGCAUGCAUCUAGAGUAUUAAGUUAAAAACAGAGUAACGCCUUAAGCAAGAUGACAUGAUGCAGAGAGAUAAAUUCAUGCAAUAUGAAAUAAACCCCAUCUUGUUAUCCUCGAUGGCAACGAUACAAUACAUGCCUUGCUGCCCCUUCUGUCACUGGGUAAGGACACCGCAAGAUCGAACCCAAAGCUAAGCACUUCUCCCAUGGCAAGAACUACCAAUCUAGUUGGCCAAACCAAACGGAUAAUUCGAAGAGACUUGCAAAGAUAACCAAUCAUACAUAAAAGAAUUCAGAGAAGAUUCAAAUAUUAUUCAUAGAUAGACUUGAUCAUAAACCCACAAUUCAUCGGUCUCAACAAACACACAGCAAAAAGAAGAUUACAUCGAAUAGAUCUCCACAAGAGAGGGGAGAACUUUGUAUUGAGAUUCAAAGAGAGAGAAGAAGCCAUCUAACUACUAACUAUGAACCCGAAGGUCUAAGGUAAACUACUCACACUUCAUCGGAGGGGCUAGGAUGAUGUAGAAGCCCUCCGUGAUGACGGCCCUCUUCCGGCGGAGCUCCGGAACAGGCCCCAAGAUGGGAUCUCGUGGAUACAGAAAGUUGUGGCGGUGGAAUUAGAUUUUUGGCUCCUCUUCUGAUCGUUUGGGGGUAUGUGUGUAUAUACAGGAGGAAGAAGUACGUCGGAGGAGCAACGAGGGGCCCACGAGGCAGGGGGCGCGCCCUAGGGAGGCGCCCGUGACCGCCUCUUUUGUUCCUUGGAGCAGGGUCCAAGUCUCCUGGAUCACGUUCGGUGAGAAAAUCACGUUCCCGAAGAUUUUAUUCCGUUUGGACUCUGUUUGAUAUUCCGUUUAUCCGAAACACUAAAAUAGGCAAAAAACAGCAAUUCUGGGCUGGGCCUCCGGUUAAUAGGUUAGUCCUAAAAAUAAUAUAAAAGUGGAAAAUAAAGCCCAAUAUAGUCCAAAAAAGUAGAUAAUAUAGCAUGGACCAAUCAAAAAUUAUAGAUACAUUGGAGACGUAUCAAGGGCUAGCAACAUCAUCAGUCUACCAACUACAUUCUGUCUGUAUCAUCUUCAUGCUCAUGCCCACAUGGGCACAUACAAGCUACUAAGAUUAGGUCAAAAUAUCACAAAUCCAGGCGCUCAAGUUAUCUCCAACCUAUAAUCCAACUUGUAAUAUCCAAGAUGAUACACUAGUCCACCAAUACCACAUUCAAGCUAAUCAUACUAUGCCUACAUAAAUCCAAUAUGUCUCAGGUUGAUCAUGCAACACCUUAAAGUUCUUGAGUUUCAAGCUCAUGUGAAAAUAUCACAAAUCCAAGUGCCUAAUCUCAAAUUUAACUCCGACCUAAAAUACAUGCAAAUAUAUCAUUGAACCUAACACAAAC